This 413-nucleotide ribosomal RNA is filed under the name uncultured microorganism. RNAcentral describes it as "bacterial SSU rRNA". It matches the Rfam family "Bacterial small subunit ribosomal RNA", at positions 9 to 416 of the family's 1533-position model. The record is from RNAcentral.
GAGUUUGAUCUUGGCUCAGAGUGAACGCUGGCGGUAGGCCUAACACAUGCAAGUCGAACGGCAGCACAGUAAGAGCUUGCUCUUAUGGGUGGCGAGUGGCGGACGGGUGAGGAAUACAUCGGAAUCUACUUUUUCGUGGGGGAUAACGUAGGGAAACUUACGCUAAUACCGCAUACGACCUACGGGUGAAAGCAGGGGAUCUUCGGACCUUGCGCGAUUGAAUGAGCCGAUGUCGGAUUAGCUAGUUGGCGGGGUAAAGGCCCACCAAGGCGACGAUCCGUAGCUGGUCUGAGAGGAUGAUCAGCCACACUGGAACUGAGACACGGUCCAGACUCCUACGGGAGGCAGCAGUGGGGAAUAUUGGACAAUGGGCGCAAGCCUGAUCCAGCCAUACCGCGUGGGUGAAGAAGGCC